GGAUAAACUGAUUUUGCUUAUUGCACCACAUGUGUUUUUCUUUGAAACAAACUUGCUUUGGCGGUGGGCCCAGCCUGCCGCCAGAGGUCUAAACUUACAACCAAUUUUUUAUCAACUUGUCACACCAGAUUAUUACUUAAUAGUCAAAACUUUCAACAACGGAUCUCUUGGUUCUCGCAUCGAUGAAGAACGCAGCGAAAUGCGAUACGUAAUAUGAAUUGCAGAUAUUCGUGAAUCAUCGAAUCUUUGAACGCACAUUGCGCCCUCUGGUAUUCCGGAGGGCAUGCCUGUUUGAGCGUCGUUUCUCCCUCAAACCGCUGGGUUUGGUGUUGAGCAAUACGACUUGGGUUUGCUUGAAAGACGGUAGUGGUAAGGCGGGAUCGCUUUGACAAUGGCUUAGGUCUAACCAAAAACAUUGCUUGCGGCGGUAACGUCCACCACGUAUAUCUUCAAACUUUGACCUCAAAUCAGGUAGGACUACCCGCUGAACUUAAGCAUAUCAAAAGCCGGAGAAA
This 515-nucleotide ribosomal RNA is filed under the name Candida albicans. RNAcentral describes it as "eukaryotic LSU rRNA". The stretch from base 148 to 301 matches the Rfam family "5.8S ribosomal RNA". The record is from RNAcentral. Lineage: Eukaryota; Fungi; Ascomycota; Pichiomycetes; Serinales; Debaryomycetaceae.